Molecule: ribosomal RNA, 434 nt
Filed under: uncultured marine bacterium
Lineage: Bacteria
Description: bacterial SSU rRNA
Rfam family: Bacterial small subunit ribosomal RNA
Source: RNAcentral
AAUAUUGGUCAAUGGUCGAAAGACUGAACCAGCCAUGUCGCGUGAAGGAUGACGGCCCUAUGGGUUGUAAACUUCUUUUGUAUGGGAGGAAAAGCAGUUACGUGUAAUGGUCUGCCGGUACCAUAGGAAUAAGAAUCGGCUAAUUCCGUGCCACCAGCCGCGGUAAUAGGGAGGAUCCAACCGUUAUCCGGAUUUAUUGGUUUUAAAGGGGGGGUAGGGGGUUUUUUAAGUCAUUAGUAAAAUUUUGAAGCUCAACUUGGAACGUGUUAUUGAAAAUGUAGAGCUUGAUUACAGAAGAGGAGGGGGAAUUGUUUGUGUAGCGGGAAAUGUUAGAUAUAAACAGAACACGAUAAGGAAGCAGCUGCCAGUCGUAAUGACGGUGAUGCACGAAGCGUGGGAAAGACAGGAUUGAUACCCUGGUAGUCCACGCCGUA